This 108-nucleotide non-coding RNA is filed under the name Microtus ochrogaster (prairie vole). Lineage: Eukaryota; Metazoa; Chordata; Mammalia; Rodentia; Cricetidae. The record is from RNAcentral.
GUGUUGCACGACAAGUUAGCAUCCCCCUUGACAAGAAUGGAAAGGGCCCUUGGGCCAGACAACACACCUAAUUCAGAUGCUGAUGCCCACAACUUGAAAGUCAGAUAA